Molecule: long non-coding RNA, 617 nt
Organism: Setaria italica (foxtail millet)
Lineage: Eukaryota; Viridiplantae; Streptophyta; Magnoliopsida; Poales; Poaceae
Exons: 2
Source: RefSeq, a predicted model, not a curated record
UUGGGCACCCAACACCCAACAGAGCAUCUACGAACGAACUUAUAGAGUACGCAACAACGUAACUGCAGACACUAUAUACCACGAUGGCUCCAAGGGCAAGCAGCAAAGGCUUGGUAGUUCUGUGCUUCGUCUCUCUCCUCCUUGUCUCAUCGUUUGCUGAUACAACAUCCCGAGCCCAAGAUACUGGGAGGAAGAUGAAGCGAGAAUUGGUGGCCGCGGACGAAGAAUACGCGCCAUUACCACCGUCAUACGGCGUCACGCCGCCCUUACCACCAUCGUACGGGCCGCCCUCGCAGACUGUACCAACAUACACGCCUACACAGCCGUGAAUCCACGUGCGAGUCUGGCACAGAUGAAUUACGUAUGCUAGUUUAUAUAUAUAUAUAUAAUAUAUAUAUAUAUAUAUAUGUAAGUGAAUAAAAUUACCACUGGCCGGGGUGUGGUGCACUGAUGCUUGUUUCGACACGUAGCCACAACGGACGCUCGUUUGGCACAGCUGGUCUGUCGACUGUAAUCAAAUUAUAAAGUGGCGUUGCUUUGCAGGCUCCAGCUGUACCAUCGACAUGUCAAAUCUUGAGUUGAAAGAUUAAAUAAAGUGCUUUAAUUUGGUUAAGCUA